RNAcentral lists this unclassified non-coding RNA (497 nucleotides) under Hevea brasiliensis (rubber tree). Lineage: Eukaryota; Viridiplantae; Streptophyta; Magnoliopsida; Malpighiales; Euphorbiaceae. The record is from RNAcentral.
UGGUGCAAUCAGGAAAGACAGGGUCCUUGUAGGUGGAAGAAAUGUUCAGACUAUCCGGAUGGCAGUUCAAAAUGACCAUUCUAAAAGUCCAAGCGCUCCAUAACAGAAUGUGAACUUCCACAGGAUUGGCCUGGAGAAUUGAGGCCUUCGAUAUUUAGUCGGUGACAAGGAGCCCUGCGUUCAAUUUGAAUGAACAUUUCCUGUGUGUGUGUAAAGUCCAUGUGGCCCCGUUAUAAAAGCAUGUUCUGAAUUAGUGGAUACUGUCAUACGGGAAAAAGGAGGCAAAUAGAACUUUUGCAUAUCAUAACAAAGACCCGUGAAAGUACAGGACGCUAAAAUAUCAACAUUUUUCUAAUUUUCUUCCAAUACCAAACUUCAUGUCUAUGGUCUCCCAAAGUGAAGAGAAGGAAAAUGAGGUCCCAAUUAACUAGAUAUGGUAAAAUGCGUUGAAGGGAUUGUCACCUGUAAUUUGGAAGUUGAUCUUUUGGAUGUUUUUG